UACGGGAGGCAGCAGUGGGGAAUAUUGCACAAUGGGCGAAAGCCUGAUGCAGCUAUGCCGCGUGUAUGAAGAAGGCCUUAGGGUUGUAAAGUACUUUCAUCGGGGAGGAAAAAACAAAACUAAUAAUUUUAUUUCUUGACGUUACCCGAAAAAGAAGCACCGGCUAACUCCGUGCCAGCAGCCGCGGUAAUACGGAGGGUGCUAGCGUUAAUCAGAAUUACUGGGCGUAAAGAGCACGUAGGUGGUUUUUUUAAGUCAGAUGUGAAAUCCCUGGGCUUAACCUAGGAACUGCAUUUUGAAACUGAAAUACUAGAGUAUCGUAGAGGGAGGUAGAAUUCUAGGUGUAGCGGUUGAAAUGCGUAGAUAUCUGGAGGAAUACCUGUGGCGAAAGCGGCCUCCUAAACGAAUACUGACACUGAGGGUGCGAAAGCGUGGGGAGCAAACAGGGAUUAGAUACC
Molecule: ribosomal RNA, 458 nt
Filed under: uncultured bacterium
Lineage: Bacteria
Description: bacterial SSU rRNA
Rfam family: Bacterial small subunit ribosomal RNA
Source: RNAcentral